AGGCAGACUUAUCAUUGACUUAAAUUUGUUAAAAUCUCAUCCAGCGUGUAAAAAAAAGCAAUGGCUCAAUGAUCUGUAAUGUUAACACUUUGAACUGCACAUCAUUACAUCUAAAUUAGUUAAUGAUAAUAAUUUUUCAGUUAAUUAUAAAUUUCAUCUUGUCAAUAAAAUGCUCUUCUUUUAAUUCUUACUUACUCAUUCAGUUUAAGUGUCUACAGUAUUUUUCUCGACCAUUAUAAUGUAUGCAUAGAUAGUUUUUUGAUUGUUUGCUUACUUCAUUUCACCAUGUCUACAUUUUAUUUCACCUGAGUAUUUAGUGGCUUCAAAGACAUCUUGUAUAUUUAUAUAAUUUGAUGCUACCAGGGUGAACAAAAUUCUUACACAUUCUUCCAUGUUUGUUUGCUUGGCCAGAUUUUUGGCACAAUGUUUUUUGUAAAUAGGUCAAAGUUGAAAACUAAUUCCCUCUUCCCAUUCCAUGAAAUGGACAUUAAUGUUAUAAUUAAAUUGUGAUGAUCAAACUGAUGUUAUUUUGCCCAAUGCUUUUUUUUUUUUUUUUUAAGGCUA
Molecule: non-coding RNA, 564 nt
Organism: Biomphalaria pfeifferi
Lineage: Eukaryota; Metazoa; Mollusca; Gastropoda; Planorbidae
Source: the annotation of a GenBank genome assembly